RNAcentral lists this long non-coding RNA (1050 nucleotides) under Salvia miltiorrhiza (redroot sage). RNAcentral describes it as "long non-coding RNA (SMIL_LNC011472)". The record is from RNAcentral. Lineage: Eukaryota; Viridiplantae; Streptophyta; Magnoliopsida; Lamiales; Lamiaceae.
GGGGGGCGGGGGGGGGGGUUGCCAUGGUUUGGCUCGGCGCCCGAGGACAAAAGUUGCAGAAAUUUACACCCAUUCACGAAAUCGGAUCUGUGUCCGAGAAUCGUUGUUCAAUUUUUACCGAGAGCAACAUUGUUCAACAGAGAAGAUGACGUUGAAUCCGAAUAUGUUUUCAAAAUUUAAAAACGAGUGCAUAUAGAAAAAGUGCCUGAGAGUUUCGGUGAGGCUAUUGCUGUUUCAGCAAGAAUCUCGAUGUUUGCGCCACUAAAUUGGUUUCUUAUUUUGCUUGUUUCUUACUCCUGUUUUUGAAAGUUUUUUGAAAUCAAAAUGAUGCGGAAGAAGGUUUCUCAGAAAUCCCAAAAAUUGUGAAGAUGUAAGGGAUCUGGCAAUUGGGCGAGUCUGGGAUUGUGAAGAGGUGGGGGAGCCGCAGAAGCAUCGGAGAGGUGUUAAUUUAAUGGGGGAAGCAAUUGAAGUGCGAUCCCGAUGGCGGAAUGUUUCUGAAAAAUCAAGAAUGUGGGGAGGUGGCCAUAUAUGUGUGUGAUUUUGAUUGUGUGUAGCUUUAUUUCCAGCUAGGGGUGAGCAGAAACCGAACCGACACUUAAAAUCGAACCGCACCAUUUCUUCCGCGACUCGCCUGCCGUCUGCCAAUCCGCAUCGCCGUGACAGCCCAGACUCGACUUCCAGUUUCUAGCGGCGAGAACAAAGUCCCUCUUCCGGCGGCAGCCCAGUCGACUGCCUAGACACGUCGUCCAGUUUCCAGCGGCGACUACCCCCUAUUUGGCAUUUGAAAUUUGUGUUUUUUAACAUUAUUUUACAGGUUUUAUUUGGUUUUUUCUCAAUAUAUAUUGCAUCGGUUCGGCUUCGAACCGAAACCGACAGUUUUACCGGUUUGGUUUUGGUUCGGUUGGACACCCCUAAUUGGUGCGGUUUGGUUCCAAUUUUAACCAUCGGUUUGAUUUUCGGUUUUUGGUUCAGUUUUGCACCGAACCGAACCGAUGCUCACCCCUAUUUCCAGCUUUAUCAAAGUUUCAUCACUUCUUGUGUUUCAUUCCC